Molecule: ribosomal RNA, 460 nt
Filed under: uncultured bacterium
Lineage: Bacteria
Description: partial 16S ribosomal RNA
Rfam family: Bacterial small subunit ribosomal RNA
Source: RNAcentral
CCUACGGGAGGCAGCAGUGAGGAAUAUUGGUCAAUGGACGAGAGUCUGAACCAGCCAAGUAGCGUGAAGGAUGACUGCCCUAUGGGUUGUAAACUUCUUUUAUAUGGGAAUAAAAUGUUCCACGUGUGGGAUUUUGUAUGUACCAUAUGAAUAAGGAUCGGCUAACUCCGUGCCAGCAGCCGCGGUAAUACGGAGGAUCCGAGCUUUAUCCGGAUUGAUUGGGUGUAAAGGGAGCGUAGGUGGACUGUCAAGUCAGUGGUGAAAGUUUGCGGCUCAACCGUAAAAUUGCAGUUGAAACUGGAAGGCUUGAGUGCAGUAGAGGCGGGCGGAAUUCGUGGUGUAGCGGUGAAAUGCUUAGAUAUCACGAAGAACUCCGAUUGCGAAGGCAGUUCACUGGACUGCAACUGACACUGAGGCUCGAAAGUGUGGGUAUCGAACAGGAUUAGAUACCCCAGUAGUC